This is a long non-coding RNA of Coffea eugenioides, 550 nucleotides long. RefSeq lists it as uncharacterized. The transcript is spliced from 3 exons. The record is from RefSeq and is a predicted model, not a curated record. Lineage: Eukaryota; Viridiplantae; Streptophyta; Magnoliopsida; Gentianales; Rubiaceae.
AAUUGUGUUCUGGAAAGUUGAAUGCACCAUUACUUAAGAAAGUGAAAGUAACAGAGAAUACAUAUAUUCCUGUGGAUUUAAAGGAUAGAGAGCUCAGCUUCUUUACCACAUCAGAGAUAUUUGGGUUCCGCAGGCUGGUCGAGAACAGAUGGAAAAGUUGAAGGAUUCAUCAAGUUGAGUCGAUAAUAUGGCCUGGUCACCACGACUGUGCUUGAUGGAUUGGGCUACUGGACAUGGACAAAAAUCUUCAGUGCUAAAGGAAUAUGUGUGGAGUUUAUAUAAAGUGUGUUUCGCUUAUUUUGGUUUUUUCUUUUACAAUAUAAUAAAGGAUAUCUUUCUUACAAUAUCAGUGUAGAAAUCUUUUUAUAUUAAUAAACUUGAGUGCAUGCCGAACGUCUAAAUGGAGAAUUUUUAAAAAUUUGAAAAAAAAAAAAACAACGCGUCAUGCACUGAAGUUAUCAAUGUAAAAAAAUUUCUACACUGAAAAUGUACAAAAAGAUUAAUCCAAUAUGAAUUGUAUUGUAUGUACUGUCUUAUGUCUUUUCAAAUU